AGCAAGGGGAAGAGGUUCUUCUAUGACACGCUAAUUCUAUACUUCCCCUACAGAAACAACCCACGCUCGACCUUUUGGCUGCGUGGUCACUAGAUGUUCAUCUUUAUUCACCAACAUUCAAAGGUCCCCAAAUCCCUCUCGGGAGGUCCAUGGCAUCAUGAGAACCAGCCUGUCCUGCACGACCGCCCUGAACCAGGGCCUGCCGAUAUCUUCCAGCUACAUCUGCUGCAACUGCUCUUCUCCAGCUGAGACAGCCGCGGCCUUACCCUGCCAGGCUUUGCAGGAACCAGCUUGGCAAGCAGCAGCCUCUAAGGACACCGGUAGAAAAUGGAGGCAGGAGAUAUAAAUCCAGCACAAGGAAAUAAAGCGACGAUGCCGUCACUUGUGCCGGCGUUCAGCUUGAUGGGAGCACAAACACCGCCAGCGUUCGGACACCGGCUUUAAAGGUUAAAACAACACCCUCGCCUUCCACGCGUGUUCUCGUUACUUCCAGCUCUCCCCGACGAAAAGCCGGGAGAAGUGCCCCGUUCCCGAACCUGCCACAGCUCACAGCAUUCCAAACCCCUCCCAGUCAGCCCCGGUUUGACCUCCUGCCGCCGAGCACCGGGGACGAUGCCGGGUAAAAUGCGGCAGCGAUCCCUGGGGGUGGGAGAUUCCCAUCCUCAA
Molecule: long non-coding RNA, 666 nt
Organism: Lepidothrix coronata (blue-crowned manakin)
Lineage: Eukaryota; Metazoa; Chordata; Aves; Passeriformes; Pipridae
Exons: 3
Source: RefSeq, a predicted model, not a curated record